CGGUAGGCUUAACACAUGCAAGUCGUGCGAGAAAGUAUCUUCGGAUAUGAGUAGAGCGGCGGACGGGUGAGUAACGCGUAGGAAUCUACCUAGUAGAAGGGGAUAGCCCGGGGAAACCCGGAUUAAUACCGUAUACCUCCUUCGGGAGAAAGAAGGCCUCUCUUUGAAGCUUUCGCUAUUAGAUGAGCCUGCGUAAGAUUAGCUUGUUGGUGAGGUAAAGGCUCACCAAGGCGACGAUCUUUAGCUGGUCUGAGAGGACGAUCAGCCACAUUGGGACUGAGACACGGCCCAGACUCCUACGGGAGGCAGCAGUGGGGAAUAUUGGACAAUGGGCGCAAGCCUGAUCCAGCCAUACCGCGUGUGUGAAGAAGGCCUUCGGGUUGUAAAGCACUUUAAGCAGGGAGAAAAAGUUAUAAGUUAAUACCUUAUAACCGUGAUGUUACCUGCAGAAUAAGCACCGGCUAAUUCCGUGCCAGCAGCCGCGGUAAUACGGAAGGUGCAAGCGUUAAUCGGAAUUACUGGGCGUAAAGCGCGCGUAGGUGGUUUGUUAAGUUGGAUGUGAAAGCCCUGGGCUCAACCUAGGAACUGCAUCCAAAACUAACUCACUAGAGUACGAUAGAGGGAGGUAGAAUUCAUAGUGUAGCGGUGGAAUGCGUAGAUAUUAUGAAGAAUACCAGUGGCGAAGGCGGCCUCCUGGAUCUGUACUGACACUGAGGUGCGAAAGCGUGGGUAGCGAACAGGAUUAGAUACCCUGGUAGUCCACGCCGUAAACGAUGACAACUAGCUGUUGGAAGACAACGUCUUUCAGUGGCGCAGCUAACGUUUUAAGUUGUCCGCCUGGGGAGUACGGCCGCAAGGCUAAAACUCAAAUGAAUUGACGGGGACCCGCACAAGCGGUGGAGCAUGUGGUUUAAUUCGAUGCAACGCGAAAAACCUUA
RNAcentral lists this ribosomal RNA (938 nucleotides) under uncultured Gammaproteobacteria bacterium. Its description in RNAcentral is "bacterial SSU rRNA". It matches the Rfam family "Bacterial small subunit ribosomal RNA", at positions 40 to 973 of the family's 1533-position model. The record is from RNAcentral. Lineage: Bacteria; Pseudomonadati; Pseudomonadota; Gammaproteobacteria.